UGCAUUUCGUCAGCUAGUAACUGAGUAGUUUCUCAGAUCAGCAGGUAUAUCAGCAGGAUGAUAACUAUAAAAACUGUAUCAUCUGUAUGUGAGGUCCUGUGAUCGUCAUGAGGGCUCUGCCCCAAGAGCAAAAUAUCAAGUUCUUUUUUUCCCAGCAGUUACAGGUGGUGACAGUUGUUCCUAAUGCCAAGAAUCAUUUGCAACUACUACUCUUGUUGCUUAAGGCAGGACAAAGGUUGGACCAGCAUCAGAGAUAAAAUAAAGAGAGGCAAAAAGAGUUACUUGAAUUUGGCAUUCUGCAGUAAGCGAUACACAAGAAGAGUGAAAUGGAGGCCGAAGAUGGCACGUUUUAGAGACUUGAAGAAUAUGAUAUCUGACUUGAACUUGUCUCAACGCUGAGUUUGACAACAGUUUUACUCCUUGCAUGAUGUACAUGCUCACAGAUAUGGUAAGGGCACAUUACUGUCAGAGAGCUGU
RNAcentral lists this long non-coding RNA (477 nucleotides) under Gallus gallus (chicken). RNAcentral's name for it is "lncRNA (ENSGALG00010025217.1)". The record is from RNAcentral. Lineage: Eukaryota; Metazoa; Chordata; Aves; Galliformes; Phasianidae.